GAUAAGUAAUGUGARUUGCAGAAUUCAGUGAAUCAUCGAAUCUUUGAACGCACCUUGCACCCCUUGGUAUUCCGAGGGGUACGCCUGUCUGAGUGUCGUGA
Molecule: ribosomal RNA, 101 nt
Filed under: Lentinellus vulpinus
Lineage: Eukaryota; Fungi; Basidiomycota; Agaricomycetes; Russulales; Auriscalpiaceae
Description: partial 5.8S ribosomal RNA
Rfam family: 5.8S ribosomal RNA
About the family: 5.8S ribosomal RNA (5.8S rRNA) is a component of the large subunit of the eukaryotic ribosome.
Source: RNAcentral